Molecule: non-coding RNA, 29 nt
Filed under: Mus musculus (house mouse)
Lineage: Eukaryota; Metazoa; Chordata; Mammalia; Rodentia; Muridae
Source: RNAcentral
UCACAAACAGAAGGCCGCUCCUGUGGUCC